RNAcentral lists this ribosomal RNA (254 nucleotides) under uncultured bacterium. RNAcentral's name for it is "partial 16S ribosomal RNA". It matches the Rfam family "Bacterial small subunit ribosomal RNA", at positions 524 to 776 of the family's 1533-position model. The record is from RNAcentral.
UACGUAGGGUCCGAGCGUUGUCCGGAAUUAUUGGGCGUAAAGGGCUCGUAGGCGGUCUGUUGCGUCGGGAGUGAAAAUUCACAGCUUAACUGUGAACUUGCUUCCGAUACGGGCAGACUUGAGGUAUUCAGGGGAGAACGGAAUUCCUGGUGUAGCGGUGAAAUGCGCAGAUAUCAGGAGGAACACCGGUGGCGAAGGCGGUUCUCCUGGGAAUAUCCUGACGCUGAGGAGCGAAAGUGUGGGGAGCGAACAGG